CAUGCAGUCGAGCGGCAGCGGGAAAGUAGCUUGCUACUUUUGCCGGCGAGCGGCGGACGGGUGAGUAAUGCCUGGGGAUCUGCCCAGUCGAGGGGGAUAACAGUUGGAAACGACUGCUAAUACCGCAUACGCCCUACGGGGGAAAGGAGGGGACCUUCGGGCCUUUCGCGAUUGGAUGAACCCAGGUGGGAUUAGCUAGUUGGUGGGGUAAUGGCUCACCAAGGCGACGAUCCCUAGCUGGUCUGAGGGGAUGAUCAGCCACACUGGAACUGAGACACGGUCCAGACUCCUACGGGAGGCAGCAGUGGGGAAUAUUGCACAAUGGGGGAAACCCUGAUGCAGCCAUGCCGCGUGUGUGAAGAAGGCCUUCGGGUUGUAAAGCACUUUCAGCGAGGAGGAAAGGUUGGCGCCUAAUACGUGUCAACUGUGACGUUACUCGCAGAAGAAGCACCGGCCAACUCCGUGCCAGCAGCCGCGGUAAUACGGAGGGUGCAAGCGUUAAUCGGAAUUACUGGGCGUAAAGCGCACGCAGGCGGUUGGAUAAGUUAGAUGUGAAAGCCCCGGGCUCAACCUGGGAAUUGCAUUUAAAACUGUCCAGCUAGAGUCUUGUAGAGGGGGGUAGAAUUCCAGGUGUAGCGGUGAAAUGCGUAGAGAUCUGGAGGAAUACCGGUGGCGAAGGCGGCCCCCUGGACAAAGACUGACGCUCA
This 707-nucleotide ribosomal RNA is filed under the name uncultured bacterium. Its description in RNAcentral is "bacterial SSU rRNA". It matches the Rfam family "Bacterial small subunit ribosomal RNA", at positions 54 to 749 of the family's 1533-position model. The record is from RNAcentral.